RNA transcript from Aegilops tauschii subsp. strangulata, 1956 nucleotides. RefSeq lists it as uncharacterized. The record is from RefSeq and is a predicted model, not a curated record. Lineage: Eukaryota; Viridiplantae; Streptophyta; Magnoliopsida; Poales; Poaceae.
CCGCCUCCCUCCCCCGCCCCGCCGAACGCUGGCGCCGCCACGACCACCCUCCCCGACGCACCGUCGCCACGCCCCUCUCCCCAGCGCGCCGCCGCUACACCCCCCUCCCCCAGCGUGCCGCCGCCACGACCUCCCUCCCCAGCGCGCGCCGUCCGGCCCUCUUCCCCAGUGUCGACCGAAUCACCUCCCUCCACACCAACCGUCGUCGACGGAGCUCGCCCCCGUCCUCCUUCUCGAGCGGAACCACGGCCUCGCCUCGCUCGCAUCCGCCAGCAGUCCUACUUCUCCAUGACGAUGAGGACAACGUAGUCGUGCGUGUUCAGUCAUGCCGUGCCCGCCCUCCUUUCUGUCUCCUUCUGAGACGAGGAGCAGCAGCUGCUGGCGGCACUACCGCACCCCUUCUGUCCCUUUCUCAGAUAUUCCUGCAGCGAAACAAAAAUGCUGUUCAAGUGGUCUCCUGCUCCAGUUCACUAGUUGGAUAGAUUGAUGGUUCAAUUUGCCCACGCCCGUGCACCCCGAGCUAACGCCAUCUUCAGCAAACUCUUCCACCAAGCAUGUAAGCUCGACUUUGGUCCGGCUGCGCCUGUUACGACCACCUCUUCCUUGCUCCCCUUCUUGCCAAGAUCUGCUGCAGGUUCGAAUGCCUUCAGUUCAGUGCAAUCUCUCCCAUCACUGAAAGUUUUAUGCCUUAUGCCCUGUUGCUGCACCGCCCCGGCCGUUCACAGCCGCCACCUCGGGCCGUUCUACAACAUAGCGCUAAGCCGUUCUACGCCGCAGCUCGAGAGGUGAAGGAGCUCCCCUUGGGUAAUUAAAUGUUGGACUGGGUUCACCUUAGUGUUGGACUUAUCAGUUGUGACCUACUUUGGUUCUGAGAAAGAGCUGCUCGAAUGCAUGUCACAUGUUUUUGCUUGAGCUGGCCUUAACUUCUAGUUCUGUUUGCACUCUAUGAUGGCAACGUGUUCUAGUGCAAGUCUAGUAAUAUAUCGUCUUUAUUUUGGCUCUACAAUGGUUGCAAACUAGAAAUGUUCUCCACCUCAAACGUACUUCAUUCUUCCAUUUUUUUAUAGCUAUUUUAUUUUGUUCCUAGUUCACUCGCAAACUGCGAUAGCGGCCACCACUAAGGGCAUUUGCUUCCAGCACAGGAGCUACAUGCUCGACGGUUGCGCACUGCCGCCAUGGACAUGCACAAAGAUAUUAAGUACAAGUAUGUUAGUUCAGUUUUUUACUAUUGAUUUACCUUGUUUAAGUAGUAGUGCAGCAAUAAAAGGUGUAGUUGUACUGACAUUUUUGUUGCUAUAUGGGGAACCCGGGGGCCAUUUAUUUUGGUUUUCAGUUCCAACUUUUCUGUUCUUUUCAAUCCGUAUGCUUUAUUGUGCAAUCUUGAGGAAAUCCCCAAAAAUCAUGUGUGCACUCAAGGUAGUUAAGUGCCUUUGUAAAAUUUUGACAGUCCAUCUCAGACUAAGCAAACAGUACAUGUUAGUCUUGGUUUGUGGUUAGACAUGCAAACAGUACAUGGGUGUACUGUCGCUCUUGCUUAUUAAGGCCUGCAUCGAUAGUUAAUCUUGAACUGGAUGUGUUAUUCUAUGUUAGGUGAAUGAAGCCUCGGGGCCAGCAGCCACCUGCGCUACAGAAUACAAGUGUUUGCAGUUUGCUCACCAGAAUGUUGAAUGAGACUACAUCAUUAUUACUCAAAAAAUUCAUUUUGUAUUUGUUCAGAAUUGUUCUCUGUAUCUGUGGCAAAGAAUGAUUUUUUUCUGGUUUAAUGCAAUCCUCCUGUGGAAGCACUAAAGUGCACUACCUGUUGAACUGAUACUGAAGACAAGGAGCAGGACCAAGUGUGCUGGAAGUUUUUUUGUACCCAUGUGCGGAAGCACUUUAUUUUUCUGAUAAUUAUUAUUGUGUUCAUGUGGGUGCUUGAAAAGUUCUAUUCAAUAAUAGGCUGAUGAUUUUUGUGCA